Non-coding RNA from Myodes glareolus (Bank vole), 999 nucleotides. The record is from RefSeq and is a predicted model, not a curated record. NCBI's taxonomy places the organism in Eukaryota, Metazoa, Chordata, Mammalia, Rodentia, Cricetidae.
GGGGCGGGGGACACGCUCCACCCACUGCCCCCUUGGCAAACUUCUCACCCACAGCAAAACACCAGUGCCAUCGUUAAAGUGGAGCAGAUCCUCAGGUUCCCUCUUGCACACCAUCUCAAGGGCCUUCGUAGCCCAUCUGUCAUGUGCUCAUACUCUUUCUCAACCCCCCACAAACAGGCUACAUAUUCCAGGUUUACUGUUGGUUCUGCCCAGUUUUAAUUGGUUCCCUGGAUGUUUGGAUACUGCCCAGUCAUAAUUGAUGCUGCUCUCACCUCUCCUUUUUAUACAUGACCUCUUGGGUUCUCCUAAGGCUCCCUAAAUUUCAUCCUCCCUCAGAGAGUUCGAUUCCAGCUAACAUCUCAGCCUAGGGAGGGACUUAGAUUCCAGGAGCAUGGCCUUAGGAAUGCUGGGAAUCUUUUCCUUCCAGAGUAUCCAGGCUUGGACACCCACACAGGAUGAUGGUUGAAGCAAAGCAGCCCUGCAUGACUUCUGACUCAGGGGUCUGACUUCUAGCACAGGAAUUUUGUCUCAGCAACAGAAAGAUGUCUGAUACAGCGUGCAUGUUCCCUUCUGCUAGGACCCUCACUCCUCUCAUUCUUGCUGUCAACACCUCCUCCAUCUGCUCUCCAGGCAGCCUCCCAUGUCACAUACCCACUCCAGAUGCUGCUAACCCCAUGUGCUUCCCUCUGGACAUUGGGCAGCAGCAGUUUGCACCGGAGCAGUGACCACGUGAUUGUUUCUCUCAGCAGCAAACUCCACAAAGGCAGCUCUAUAUCCCCAUGCCCUCCACGAAGGACUGAUAGUCAUGAAAGCAGCUCCAUGCCCCUGGGCCCACCACAGGAGGACUGGUGCCCAGGAAGGCAGCUCCGUGUCCCUGUGCCCACCACAGGAGGACUGAUGCCCAGAAUACUCAUUGAAUUUAUCAAUAAGGUGGUUGAGAAAUAUAGCAAAUGUUUACAAACAAGGAUGUGUGACAAUAAAGGUUCUGUUUACAAGGGA